Molecule: ribosomal RNA, 222 nt
Filed under: uncultured bacterium
Lineage: Bacteria
Description: partial 16S ribosomal RNA
Rfam family: Bacterial small subunit ribosomal RNA
Source: RNAcentral
CGUGUGGGCAACCUGCCCUGUACUGGGGAAUAAUCAUUGGAAACGAUGACUAAUACCGCAUGUGGUCCUCGGAAGGCAUCUUCUGAGGAAGAAAGGAUUUAUUCGGUACAGGAUGGGCCCGCAUCUGAUUAGCUAGUUGGUGAGAUAACAGCCCACCAAGGCGACGAUCAGUAGCCGACCUGAGAGGGUGAUCGGCCACAUUGGGACUGAGACACGGCCCAA